Molecule: ribosomal RNA, 528 nt
Filed under: uncultured bacterium
Lineage: Bacteria
Description: bacterial SSU rRNA
Rfam family: Bacterial small subunit ribosomal RNA
Source: RNAcentral
UUGACAUCCAGCGAACUUGGCAGAGAUGCCUUGGUGCCUUUCGGGAACGCUGAGACAGGUGCUGCAUGGCUGUCGUCAGCUCGUGUUGUGAAAUGUUGGGUUAAGUCCGCAACGAGCGCAACCCUUAUCCUUUGUUGCCAGCGAUUCGGUCGGGAACUCAAAGGAGACUGCCGGUGAUAAACCGGAGGAAGGUGGGGAUGACGUCAAGUCAUCAUGGCCCUUACGAGUAGGGCUACACACGUGCUACAAUGGCGCAUACAAAGAGAAGCGACCUCGCGAGAGCAAGCGGACCUCAUAAAGUGCGUCGUAGUCCGGAUCGGAGUCUGCAACUCGACUCCGUGAAGUCGGAAUCGCUAGUAAUCGUGGAUCAGAAUGCCACGGUGAAUACGUUCCCGGGCCUUGUACACACCGCCCGUCACACCAUGGGAGUGGGUUGCAAAAGAAGUAGGUAGCUUAACCUUCGGGAGGGCGCUUACCACUUUGUGAUUCAUGACUGGGGUGAAGUCGUAACAAGGUAAGCGUACGUGU